GAGUGUUUUAGUUGUAGCCAGUCGUUUCAGAUAUUGGUGUAGCACAGUGUUUAUCCAUUCCGUGGUGUGAGUCCAGUCGUUCUACUGGCUUUCAGAAAAUUUUCCACUAUAUUUCCAAGAGAAGAACUGAAAGUGAACAUGGCACUAGUUGAAUUCCCCUCAUUACACUGAUAACGUUAAAAUCUGUCGAAAAUGUGACUGCCAUGAACACCACAGCCAUGGUCGACAUCUCUCGACGCAUCCGGCUGUGGUCGACAUCUCUCGACGCAUCCGGGUCGAUGACUCAACAACUCCACAUCUACAUGCAUCCAGUCAAGAUAAGCUGGAAGUCAAAUCUAAUGACCACGGGAUGUAGAUGUACUCCCUCCGUUCUAAAUUGGAGUCAUUUCAUAUAUUUUGCUAAAUUUUGCUAAGUACCUAAAUAAUUAGGUGUUGGUACUUAUAUCUAGAUACAUAAAUAAAAGUUAUGAAUCUAAAAGUAUUAAAAUGAUCUAUAAUUUGAAAUGGAGGAAGUACCGGUAAUAUUUGUGUGGCCACUUCACUACCAUUAGCGGACGAAGGACCCUGGAACCAUCCGAGAGCAAGGAGGGGACAGGGACACGGGUGAUAACUGGUAAGCCCUCCGUCACCUGCCGCCCCACCCCAUCCGGGCAUCCGGCCUGGGCACAGGUGCCCUCCCCGUCCCUUUCCCCCGCCGCUACGCCGCGGCCGCCGUGGCGCGUCUCCAGCAGGCGGCUUCACGAAGUCGCCCAAGCCUCGCCAAGCUGCCGGCCCGCC
This 777-nucleotide long non-coding RNA is filed under the name Setaria viridis. Its description in RNAcentral is "long non-coding RNA (SVIR_LNC006198)". The record is from RNAcentral. Lineage: Eukaryota; Viridiplantae; Streptophyta; Magnoliopsida; Poales; Poaceae.